CCUGAGGUUGUGUGUCUGUGUGUGUGCGUAUAAAAACAUAGGUUCUGAGGAUUGAGCGCUGUGUCAUUGUAAUUAGGCUGCAGGUCGGUGACUCUAUCUCAGAUAUUCAGACACGUUAAGCCUGUGUGCAGAGGUUGAUGUAUGUACUCGUCUGCUUGUCUCAGACCCCGUGGAGUGGCAGCUUAUCUCGCUGUUUUUCUCUGUCCUGUCACAGGUUUCAAGUGGGAGCGAGGCAGCGGAGCCUCGCUCAGUGUGGAGUGCCUCGUCGUCAGAAUGCUGAGGCCGCACACAGCUCCAGAUGCACUAUCCCAUCCUUGUCCACCCACUUUUGUUUCUAAAACAGAGCCGUUUUAUUGCUGCCCUGAGGCAGAUAGAGCCAAGCUGAGGAAACAGAGACUCCAAGUGUACGGCUAGGUAUGGAAAUGAGCCCUCUGUGACAAUACUCAACAAUAUCUCC
RNAcentral lists this long non-coding RNA (457 nucleotides) under Betta splendens (Siamese fighting fish). Its description in RNAcentral is "lncRNA (ENSBSLG00000008239.1)". Lineage: Eukaryota; Metazoa; Chordata; Actinopteri; Anabantiformes; Osphronemidae. The record is from RNAcentral.